AAAUUGAAGAGUUUGAUCAUGGCUCAGAUUGAACGCUGGCGGCAGGCCUAACACAUGCAAGUCGAACGGUAACAGGAAGCAGCUUGCUGCUUCGCUGACGAGUGGCGGACGGGUGAGUAAUGUCUGGGAAACUGCCUGAUGGAGGGGGAUAACUACUGGAAACGGUGGCUAAUACCGCAUAACGUCGCAAGACCAAAGAGGGGGACCUUCGGGCCUCUUGCCAUCAGAUGUGCCCAGAUGGGAUUAGCUUGUUGGUGAGGUAACGGCUCACCAAGGCGACGAUCCCUAGCUGGUCUGAGAGGAUGACCAGCCACACUGGAACUGAGACACGGUCCAGACUCCUACGGGAGGCAGCAGUGGGGAAUAUUGCACAAUGGGCGCAAGCCUGAUGCAGCCAUGCCGCGUGUAUGAAGAAGGCCUUCGGGUUGUAAAGUACUUUCAGCGGGGAGGAAGGUGUUGCGGUUAAUAACCGCAGCAAUUGACGUUACCCGCAGAAGAAGCACCGGCUAACUCCGUGCCAGCAGCCGCGGUA
This 532-nucleotide ribosomal RNA is filed under the name Salmonella enterica subsp. enterica serovar Infantis. Its description in RNAcentral is "bacterial SSU rRNA". It matches the Rfam family "Bacterial small subunit ribosomal RNA", at positions 1 to 522 of the family's 1533-position model. RNAcentral also lists the same sequence under 1 other name. The record is from RNAcentral. Lineage: Bacteria; Pseudomonadati; Pseudomonadota; Gammaproteobacteria; Enterobacterales; Enterobacteriaceae.